RNAcentral lists this long non-coding RNA (128 nucleotides) under Monodelphis domestica (gray short-tailed opossum). RNAcentral describes it as "lncRNA (ENSMODG00000049944.1)". Lineage: Eukaryota; Metazoa; Chordata; Mammalia; Didelphimorphia; Didelphidae. The record is from RNAcentral.
GGGAACCAAGGAAAGUUUGGUCAAGAGGGAAUCCCUGAGCUGAACUUUGAAGGAAAGAUUCAAAGAGAGAUGGGGGGAUUCAUUCCCAAUGGCUCGAGCCAAGAGAUGGAAUAUGAAGUUUCAGAGUU